This is a long non-coding RNA of Candoia aspera, 649 nucleotides long. RefSeq lists it as uncharacterized. NCBI's taxonomy places the organism in Eukaryota, Metazoa, Chordata, Lepidosauria, Squamata, Candoiidae. The transcript has 3 exons. The record is from RefSeq and is a predicted model, not a curated record.
GCCAUUACUUCUAUCUUGGGCAUUCCUAUCUUGAGCCUAAGUGCUGUAUUGGGGGCACACCUUGGAGCCACCAGUAUGGACCUUAGAAAUAUUGUUUGCAUAGGUUUGAGAGCAUUUUCCUUCAUAUACAGUAAAGCUCUGCCUGUGCUCCAUAUAAGAUUUGAGCAAGGGUUUUAGCCUCAAACAUUUUUACAGCGGCUGCUAUUAAUUCCCUUGAUUUGGUAUAAAAGAACCUCCUAGUAGCAAUGGAAGAUUUUGAAGCUGUUUGGGCAAUGUGUUCCUAGUGGGCUUUCCAAAUUCCCUGGCCAUGGAAAAGCAUUCCCAAAUAUCUAAAGGGAAAUGAUAUGAAAGCCAGAAACAUCCACCUGGAAAUUAAUGUAUGGAAGCAGCUCACACAUGGAAUAAAGCAUUGUGUAUCUCUCUUUAAGCUCCCCUUCGGAUCUGCAGCAAAAACAAACCGGCAUUUCAUAAUCCAGUCACCUUGUCCUGCUGAGCUGUGGAAACAUCCUAAAAUUAACAGCAGUGAUAAAUAACUGUUUUACUAGAGAAUUUCAGUGGAUAUAAUAUGGUGCCAAUGCCUUCAGAGAUGAAGUAGAUAUGCUGAAUGCCCCUCUAUUAUAGCAAUCUCCCAAUGCUGUGUGGAACAGUU